Molecule: transfer RNA, 71 nt
Filed under: bacterium
Lineage: Bacteria
Description: tRNA-Ala
Rfam family: tRNA
About the family: Transfer RNA (tRNA) molecules are approximately 80 nucleotides in length. Their secondary structure includes four short double-helical elements and three loops (D, anti-codon, and T loops).
Source: RNAcentral
GGGCCUGUAGUUCAGUGGUAGAACACUACAUUCGCAUUGUAGAAACGGCGGUUCGAAUCCGCCCAGGUCCA